UGGCGAUCCUGCCCAGCCUGCGAGUCGAGAGGUUCGGCCCUCGGCGAACUGCUCAGUAACACGUGGAUAAUCUAACCUUAGGUAGAGCAUAACCUCGGGAAACUGAGAAUAAUACUCCAUAGAUCUUUGAGGCUGGAAUGCGCUUAGAUUGAAAGCUUCGGCGCCUAAGGAUGAGUCUGCGGACUAUCAGGUAGUAGUCAGGGUAAAGACCUGACUAGCCUACGACGGAUACGGGUUGUGAGAGCAAUAACCCGGAGAUGAUAUCUGAGACACGAUAUCAGGCCCUACGGGGCGCAGCAGGCGCGAAAACUUCACAAUGCGCGAAAGCGCGAUGAGGGGAUCCCAAGUGCUUGCACGUAAGUGUAAGCUGUUUUUCUGUCUAAAAAGCAGAGAGAGUAAGGGCUGGGUAAGACGGGUGCCAGCCGCCGCGGUAAUACCUGCAGCUCAAGUGGUGGCCGCUAUUAUUGGGCCUAAAACGUCCGUAGCCGGCUGAGUAAAUGCCUGGGUAAAUCGUGUGGCUUAACCAUACGAAUUCCGGGUAGACUGCUCAGCUUGGGACCGGAAGAAGUUAGAGGUACUCCUGGGGUAGGGGUGAAAUCCUGUAAUCCUGGGGGGGACCACCAGUGGCGAAGGCGUCUAACUAGGACGGGUCUGACGGUGAGGGACGAAGCCCCUGGGGCGCAAACCGGAUUAGAUACCCGGGUAGUCCAGGGUGUAAACGCUGCUUGCUUGAUGUUAGCUGGGCUCCGAGCUCGGCUAGUGUCGGAGAGAAGUUGUUAAGCAAGCUGCCUGGGAAGUACGGUCGCAAGACUGAAACUUAAG
This 822-nucleotide ribosomal RNA is filed under the name uncultured archaeon. RNAcentral's name for it is "bacterial SSU rRNA". It matches the Rfam family "Archaeal small subunit ribosomal RNA", at positions 34 to 860 of the family's 1478-position model. The record is from RNAcentral.